AACGAACGCUGGCGGCAUGCCUAACACAUGCAAGUCGAACGAGACCUUCGGGUCUAGUGGCGCACGGGUGCGUAACGCGUGGGAACCUGCCCUUAGGUUCGGAAUAACUCCCCGAAAGGGGUGCUAAUACCGGAUAAUGUCUUCGGACCAAAGAUUUAUCGCCUUUGGAUGGGCCCGCGUUGGAUUAGCUAGUUGGUAGGGUAAAAGCCUACCAAGGCGACGAUCCAUAGCUGGUCUGAGAGGAUGAUCAGCCACACUGGGACUGAGACACGGCCCAGACGCGUAAGGGAGGAGAAGGGGGAGAGGAUUGGGAGCGGGGCGAAGCCGAGAACAGUCACUGGGGGGGGGGUGAUAAAGGCCGUAGGGUUGCAAAGCUCUUUCCGACGGGAGAACAAGGACAUGGCGGGGAGAAUGAGCUCCGGCUAAGUCCGGGCCACCAGCAGGGAAAGUAGAUGAAGAGCAUCCUUCUGAAC
This 473-nucleotide ribosomal RNA is filed under the name uncultured bacterium. Its description in RNAcentral is "partial 16S ribosomal RNA". It matches the Rfam family "Bacterial small subunit ribosomal RNA", at positions 28 to 551 of the family's 1533-position model. The record is from RNAcentral.